GUGGGGAAUAUUGGACAAUGGGCGGAAGCCUGAUCCAGCAAUACCGCGUGUGUGAAGAAGGCCUUCGGGUUGUAAAGCACUUUCAAUAGGGAGGAAUACCUUGGAGCUAAUACCUUCAAGACUGACAUUACCUAUAGAAGAAGCACCGGCUAACUCCGUGCCAGCAGCCGCGGUAAUACGGAGGGUGCGAGCGUUAAUCGGAAUUACUGGGCGUAAAGCGUGCGUAGGCGGCUUAUUAAGUCAGAUGUGAAAGCCCUGGGCUUAACCUGGGAACGGCAUUUGAAACUGGUGGGCUAGAGUUGAGUAGAGGUAAGUGGAAUUUCAGGUGUAGCGGUGAAAUGCGUAGAUAUCUGAAGGAACACCAGUGGCGAAGGCGACUUACUGGACUCAAACUGACGCUGAGGUACGAAAGCGUGGGUAGCAAACAGGAUUAGAAACCCCUGUAGUCC
This 449-nucleotide ribosomal RNA is filed under the name uncultured bacterium. RNAcentral's name for it is "bacterial SSU rRNA". It matches the Rfam family "Bacterial small subunit ribosomal RNA", at positions 354 to 796 of the family's 1533-position model. The record is from RNAcentral.